RNAcentral lists this ribosomal RNA (433 nucleotides) under uncultured bacterium. RNAcentral's name for it is "bacterial SSU rRNA". It matches the Rfam family "Bacterial small subunit ribosomal RNA", at positions 360 to 809 of the family's 1533-position model. The record is from RNAcentral.
AAUCAUUCACAAUGGGGGAAACCCUGAUGGUGCGACGCCGCGUGGGGGAUAAGGUCUUCGGAUUGUAAACCCCUGUCAUGUGGGACAUUAAAAAGAUAGUACCACAAGAGGAAGAGACGGCUAACUCUGUGCCAGCAGCCGCGGUAAUACAGAGGUCUCAAGCGUUGUUCGGAAUCACUGGGCGUAAAGCGUGCGUAGGCUGUUUCGUAAGUCGUGUGUGAAAGGCGCGGGCUCAACCCGCGGACGGCACAUGAUACUGCGAGACUAGAGUAAUGGAGGGGGAACCGGAAUUCUCGGUGUAGCAGUGAAAUGCGUAGAUAUCGAGAGGAACACUCGUGGCGAAGGCGGGUUCCUGGACAUUAACUGACGCUGAGGCACGAAGGCCAGGGGAGCGAAAGGGAUUAGAUACCCCUGUAGUCCUGGCAGUAAACGG